GGCGCGCGGGAGGGUGACUUGGAAGGGUCUUUACGAACCCUAGGGAAAGGCGGUCUGGUAGUAAGUCCAUUUCAAGACCUUUUAAAGUGAGACCUGCAUAUGUUGAAAGAGUUUUAGAGAGUGAAGCUGGGUCCUUAGAAGCUGGAAUGUCCCAGCAGAAUGUAGAAGUGCGAAAAAUUUGGCAAAGUACUCUAAACUGAUCCUUUCUGUGAGUCACCAGGCUGGUGAGGAAGAAUCUCUGGCAACAGUGUAUCUAUUAACAUAUAGCUUCUGUGUUUAUCAGGCCCAGUUCUGGUGAUGAUUUCACUUUUGACAGAAGCUGUCCCUCAAAAGCAAACAUGCAAUAGAAGAAACAGAUCUCAAAGCAGUUUUGGUAUCCUGAAGCUGGAGCAAAAUGCGACAAAGUGAAGAAGUUCCUACUGACUGGGCACACAGUCAAAUGUAUGUCACCAAGACUGGGGGUUCAGUCACAUGCUGUUCUUCUUUGAUUAAAAAACUCAUUAAUCUGACUAUCAUAAAGGCAGAUCCUCAAUGUUUUCUGUUUUUACCUUAUGGGUUCACAUGUCCACAUAGUAACUUUUAUAGACCCAGCUAAUUCUGAAACUUAAGUAUCCACAAGAUCAAAGCAGAAACCUUUAAGUCUGUUUUACAAACUUGCUUACCCUUCUGUAUAGUUUAGAGACUGAAAUAGAGAAGGACUACGGGAGGGGAAAGUGGUAGCAGCUUAGUCUUAAAGACUUUUAAGUUGGAACAAAAUAGCCUAUCCCUGCAGUAGAUCUGACUUGCCUAUGGAAUGGGAAAAAAAGAUACAUUAUUAGUACUUUUGACACAAUAUUUUGGGGUAGGAUAUACAGCAAAAUGAUUAUAAGCAUGGUCUCUGGAGACAGAUGACUCAGGUUGAAAUCCUGGCUCCAGUUACUUGUGUGUGCUCUUGAGCAAGUUUGUUCCCUCAGUUUUCUCAGCUAUUAUGUGAGAUAAUAAUAGUAUGUAUGUCUUAAAAUUGUUGAGGAUUAAACAAGUUAAUACACGUAAACACAGUUACAUACUCAGUACCUGUAAGCUACAAUUAUUUACUUUUCAAAAGUGACAUACAGCAGGUAAGAGGUUAGUGUAGUCAUACAUUAAUGAGGUUACUAAAAACAUUUUCAAAACCUUUUACCAUACCACCACAGACAGUAUAAUUGAAGGGUGAUAUCAGUAGCAUCAGAGAAUCAAGUAAUGGGAUACUGAUAGGGACAGUAUUGUGAGAAUAUGAAAGGAAUCUCUAUAGACUUCAAGAUGAGAAUUUAAAAAUUUUAAAUUCCCUCCCUAGCAUAUAUGGUUACUAUAGCCCUAUGGCAAAGUAUCAGAGUAAUUUAUGCUUGUAGCCUCAUGGGCUCAUUAAUAUAUAGCAGAUGUGCUUUACUUACCAAGCUCUGGUUGUCUGGCAGCAUGACAAUGAUCUGUGCGUUAUGAUCCCAAAUCAUUCGCCAGAAAUCUUUCGUAGUAUGUGGCAGAGGAUGCUGAGUUAUAAUAAAUUCAUUGCUCCUAUAAUAGCCCUUCAGUUGGGAAGACAAAAAAAAAUCAGUGAAUAUGAAUGUUUUAUUUUAACUUUGUGGUAGUAAAAUAUAUUCGUGAAAUAAGAUAGCAUUGUUUUGACUACACUAAAAUAAUUGGGAAAGGCAUUCAGUACAUUUGGCUAAUUUUUAGAUGUACUUCUGCUAGCAUUGUGCAGACAAAUUUCUCUCCAUGUGCAGUUCACUUCUAGUUACCCCUGCUGUUUUCACUUAACAGAAAUUUCAACAUUUAUUCAAAGACUAGAUGUGUGAAAUUAACAAUAAAAUUAAUUCCUGAAGAAGCAUUCUGCUUAAUUUAAGCAUUUUUGUACCCCCAAAAAGUUUCCAGAUACAGAAAUCUCUCUACUUUUCGUAUUACACAUUGAGAAAUUAUUUCAAAAAUGACAUCAGUCACACAGGUGGUAUCUGCUCUUUAACACCUUUCAGUUUAAUUGACUUUAUUUAUAAUUAACUGUUGACUCUCACCAUGAUAUAAGAAGCAUUAAUGUAAUCUGUUCCUUUCAUUCCAGGCAAUGGUGCAAGACCCACUCGAGCACGCUCAGCUAUCAUAUGGAAAAAACAAAAACACCACAUUUGCCUUAUUAUACACACAGAACCAACAGCUCUUUCUGAGAUUUGCUUGAUGAAUAACAUAUCCUCCUGGCUUCCCUUUCUAAGACUUAUCUAUAUUUUUAAACAAGCUCAAGUGUUAUCAGCUGAGGCAGAAUGUAAAAUGAAAUUUUGCUGCACAUACCCAGAAGGACCCAGGCAUUGUAGGAAUACAGUUUUACUGUGGGAGAGAUUUUUACAGCAGAUCAGUAACAGAAUACUUUAUAUGGACAUGACAUAGGGUUUUAGAUAACUUUUGACUCUAAUUUGUUAUUCCUACAAUUAUACCAACAUAUACUCUGCCCUUUUACCAA
Non-coding RNA from Macaca mulatta (Rhesus monkey), 2458 nucleotides. The record is from RefSeq and is a predicted model, not a curated record. Lineage: Eukaryota; Metazoa; Chordata; Mammalia; Primates; Cercopithecidae.